RNAcentral lists this ribosomal RNA (204 nucleotides) under Escherichia coli O45:H2 str. 2009C-4780. Its description in RNAcentral is "partial 16S ribosomal RNA". It matches the Rfam family "Bacterial small subunit ribosomal RNA", at positions 1 to 210 of the family's 1533-position model. The record is from RNAcentral. Lineage: Bacteria; Pseudomonadati; Pseudomonadota; Gammaproteobacteria; Enterobacterales; Enterobacteriaceae.
UUAAAUUGAAGAGUUUGAUCAUGGCUCAGAUUGAACGCUGGCGGCAGGCCUAACACAUGCAAGUCGAACGGUAACAGGAAGCAGCUUGCUGUUUCGCUGACGAGUGGCGGACGGGUGAGUAAUGUCUGGGAAACUGCCUGAUGGAGGGGGAUAACUACUGGAAACGGUAGCUAAUACCGCAUAACGUCGCCAGACCAAAGAGGG